AACUGUCGCACCUCCCAUGAUUUCUUUGACACAUACAUGAUGGAGAUGAAAAGUGACGACCGCAGCAAGUUCUUUGAUGCUUUGAUAAGCCUGCUGAAUUAAAAUUUACCAAGUCAUAUCUUGGUGUAUAUCAAAAUAAGUGCUCACAGGGUGUUUUGUAUACCUUUGUGCAUGUUUUUUUACAUAUAUGAACAAUUGGAAUCUAUACAUAUGACAGUAAUAUGAUUUUCUUAUGUUUCUAGUUGUACAUGUUGGUUGUUGUAAAGAUGAAUGAUUAGUGAUUGAACUUUACAACAGUUGUCUCAGUCAAUAUUUUUUUUUAAUGUUAAACUUAUCAAUUUCUUGGAGGUGUAAAAUCAGAACUGUACCAAUUUGUUCAGUCAAUAAAGAUUGUAAUUUCCACUCUGAGAUCUCUCUAGAUUCUGCAAUUAUUGAAAUGAGGGCACAUUCAAUGUUUUGCGUGUGUCAAACAAGAAAGAUAUGGUCAAAUGUAAGCCUCAAUUUUGAAGAGUUCUUAAUAAAAAUCAAGCUUCUGAAGAGAUCUUCAUAUAUUUUUUUAUUGUGAAUCAAUUCCAGUGACUGCUACUUUGUUGAUGUUUUUCAGAACAUUGACUUUGCAAGAUUUAAAUCAGACAGUUAUAUACAAACAGCUAAUGGAAAUUUGUUUGCAAACGAGAAAAAUAGUUUGCUAUGAUGCCUAAUUGUAUAUAUAUAGAUAUUUUGUUUAAUUAUAUAUAUGUUUAAAUUCUUAACAAUAUAAGGGUUUAUUAGUGACAUUUAUGCAGACAGAAAAACAAUAUUAAAUUUUGCAACUGGCUGUUUUUUCAAUCCUGCAUGUAGGACCUAUGGCAUGUUAUAUUGUUAUUUUAUUAAAGCGCAUGUUCUAUUUGUUAGCUUACCUGAGCACAAAGUGCUAAAGUGGAGCUAUUCUGAUCACCAAAUGUCUGCAAUAUUCAUCUUUUAGCUUGUUUACAUUCCAGAGGCCACAUGUUUGUAUACAAUAAUGAUCAAUAUAGGUCAAAGUAUUGAUCUUUACAAUACCAAGGCUGAGUUUGAAUCUGGGUCAGGUGCACUCAAGAACCAGUUCACCAUUUCCAAUCUUAGAAAACUUGGCCACUCUUGUCACAUUGAUGACUCAGUCUUAACCCUUUGCAUGCUUGAAAAUUUAUCGUCUGCUAAAAUGUCGUCUGCUAAAUUUCCACAAUUAGCAUUUCUUCGAAUUUUUUUUCCAAAAAAUACUAUCAGAAUAGCAAACAGUUUGGAUCCAGAUGAGAUGCCACGUUCUGUGGCAUCUCAUCUGGAUCCAAACUGUUUGCAAAGGCCUUCAAAAUUCGGUUCCCGCACUGAAAGAGUUAAUAAAAGUUGGUCAGAAAGUUUAUUUUGACAACAUAAAGGCCAUGUUUGAAUCUGGGUGACAUUUAAACAAACUUGGUCGCCAGGUCAUAUCAUAGAAAACCCAUUAUACCACUUUAAAAGCUAAAUUGAUCACUCAAUCUUAAGAAAUUGCAUAAAAUGUAUCUUCACAAAAUCAAUGCAAGUUUUGAAUGUGGGUCAAGUGGAUUAAAAAAUGUGUAGCUUAACUCAGGAGAGCGCUUAAGGGUCACCAUGGAAACUGGAAAUCUUUUUUAGAUAUAUCUGUAUAUAUUAUUGUCGUUUGAAAUGAAUUUAUUUGUAAAUACUAUCACUUAUUUAAUUGUGUGAAUAAGUAUCAUGAUAUACAUGUAUGUGCAUCUUUUUUCUCCAACUUGAUGUCUUGUUUUGAAAUUAGUGCUGUAAAUUGUGUUGCUUAUUGUGUUUCUAUUUUACGAUGCAAUUAAAUGCAUACAAAUAA
This is a long non-coding RNA of Dreissena polymorpha, 1831 nucleotides long. RefSeq lists it as uncharacterized. Lineage: Eukaryota; Metazoa; Mollusca; Bivalvia; Myida; Dreissenidae. The transcript is spliced from 2 exons. The record is from RefSeq and is a predicted model, not a curated record.